Molecule: ribosomal RNA, 450 nt
Filed under: uncultured bacterium
Lineage: Bacteria
Description: bacterial SSU rRNA
Rfam family: Bacterial small subunit ribosomal RNA
Source: RNAcentral
CCAGACUCCUACGGGAGGCAGCAGUGGGGAAUAUUGCACAAUGGGCGAAAGCCUGAUGCAGCAACGCCGCGUGAAGGAAGAAGGGUUUCGGCUCGUAAACUUCUAUCAACAGGGACGAAAGAAAUGACGGUACCUGAAUAAGAAGCCCCGGCUAACUACGUGCCAGCAGCCGCGGGAAUACGUAGGGGGCAAGCGUUAUCCGGAUUUACUGGGUGUAAAGGGAGCGUAGACGGCAGUGCGAGUCCGGAGUGAAAGCCCGGGGCUCAACCCUGGGACUGCUCUGGAAACUGUAAAGCUGGAGUGCGGGAGGGGCAGGCGGAAUUCCUGGUGUAGCGGUGAAAUGCGUAGAUAUCAGGAGGAACACCGGCGGCGAAGGCGGCCUGCUGGACCGUAACUGACGUUGAGGCUCGAAAGCGUGGGGAGCAAACAGGAUUAGAUACCCCAGUACAC